AUACUUACCUGACGCAAGAGGCACCUUGAUCAACUAGAAGGUCCUCUCAGGAUGAGGCCCUUUCAUUGCACUUCGACUGGGUUGACUCCUGCGAUUACCCCUAAUGUGGGUAACUCGAGCGUAUAAUUUCUGGUAGUGGGGACCUGCGUUCGCGCUCGUCCCCU
Molecule: small nuclear RNA, 164 nt
Filed under: Dendronephthya gigantea
Lineage: Eukaryota; Metazoa; Cnidaria; Anthozoa; Malacalcyonacea; Nephtheidae
Description: U1 spliceosomal RNA
Rfam family: U1 spliceosomal RNA
About the family: U1 is a small nuclear RNA (snRNA) component of the spliceosome (involved in pre-mRNA splicing). Its 5' end forms complementary base pairs with the 5' splice junction, thus defining the 5' donor site of an intron.
Source: RNAcentral